RNAcentral lists this ribosomal RNA (1257 nucleotides) under marine sediment metagenome. Its description in RNAcentral is "bacterial LSU rRNA". It matches the Rfam family "Bacterial large subunit ribosomal RNA", at positions 770 to 2001 of the family's 2925-position model. The record is from RNAcentral.
AGGCCCGAACCGUUGUAUGUUGAAAAAUGCUCGGAUGAGCUGUGGAUAGGGGUGAAAGGCCAAACAAACUUGGAAAUAGCUGGUUCUCCCCGAAAUGUAUUUAGGUACAGCCUCGUGUUAAUCAGUAACGGGGGUAGAGCACUGGAUGGGCUAGGGGUCCUACCAGAUUACCAAACCUAACCAAACUCCGAAUACCGUUAACUGCUAUCACGGGAGUGAGACUAUGGGAGCUAAGUUCCAUGGUCGAGAGGGAAACAGCCCAGAUCGCCAGCUAAGGUCCCCAAAUAUAUGCUAAGUGGGAAAGGAUGUGGAAAUGCCCAGACAACCAGGAGGUUGGCUUAGAAGCAGCCACCCUUUAAAGAAAGCGUAAUAGCUCACUGGUCGAGUGGGUCUGCGCCGAAAAUGUAACGGGGCUCAAGCAUAUUACCGAAGCUGCGGAUUUUACAUUUAUUUGUAAAGUGGUAGGGGAGCAUUCUGUACGGAUUGAAGGUUGAUCGUAAGAACGGCUGGACUGUACAGAAGAGAUCAUGCUGACAUGAGUAACGAUAAAACGGGUGAAAAACCCGUUCGCCGAAAGCCCAAGGGUUCCUGGGUAAAGUUAAUCUGCUCAGGGUUAGUCGAUCCCUAAGCCGAGGCCGAAAGGCGUAGGCGAUGGAAAACAGGUUAAUAUUCCUGUACCACCGGGCAGUCGUUUGAGUGAUGGGGGGACGCAGAAGGGUAGGUCAUCCAUCUGUUGGAUUAGAUGGUUCAAGCCUGUAGGCAGAAGGUGUAGGCAAAUCCGCACCUUUAUUUUAAUGCUGAGAGGUGAUGAGGAGUCCUUUGGACAUAAACUGAUUGAUCCCAUACUGCCAAGAAAAGCCUCUAGCGAGACUGUCAGGUGAUCGUACCGUAAACCGACACAGGUAGGCAGGGAGAGUAUCCCAAGGCGCUUGAGAGAACUCUGGUUAAGGAACUCGGCAAAAUCAUACCGUAACUUCGGGAUAAGGUAUGCCCCCGUUAAGUGAUGCGUUUCGCAUGCUGAGCUGAAGGGGGCCGCAGAGAAAUGGCGGUAGCGACUGUUUACUAAAAACAUAGGACUCUGCUAAGUCGCAAGACGAUGUAUAGGGUCUGACGCCUGCCCGGUGCUGGAAGGUUAAGGGGGUUAGCUCUUCGGAGCGAAGCUUUGAACCGAAGCCCCAGUAAACGGCGGCCGUAACUAUAACGGUCCUAAGGUAGCGAAAUUCCUUGUCGGGUAAGUUCCGACCUGCACGAAUGGCG